AAGAAGCAACAUCAUACAGCUUAGAGGUCAGGGGUGAUCUUCUGUAGAUGCCCGAGCAGAACAUUGGCAAUCAGGAGGAUGAGUACAGGCAGCUUAUCUGUGAACAAGCUGAGCUGCAACUGAGCAGCAAAAGAGCAGUAGAGCAGAUAGUGGAGAGGAUUAUGAGUAGAAAAAUAAUGACCUCUACGGAGUCGCACGAAAAGGGUAUGGCUGACAUCCUUCCAUCCUACAGGGAGAUACUGUUGCAAAGUUUAAAGGAAGCUUUCCCUAAGAUGUACAAGCUGAGGAACCUAGAGAACAUGCUGGUAGCAGGACCUAAAUAAUGCUAUGGGGCAUAGAACAGUAGGUAGCAGGGCUUCACGGAUGACCGGAAGAAAGGGAAAGGCACCAGCAGUCCUACCUUGCCUAAAUUGAGGGAAGAAAUUGUCACCUCCACCAGUUUACCUCAUUCAACCUUCACUGCAAUCAAGGAGGAAGCUUUAUCAUCCCUAUCUGACAGAACUGAGGACAUGGCUGAAGGAGAUUAAAAGCACAUUUGGAAAUACCGCUUUAGAUACUCUACAAGUUAACCUUGGAAUAAACCAGACUAUCAGAGGGCAUUGUCACUCACUGACGGAUUUCUUUCAUUCCUCUCUGCUUUGGCAUUAGGCAGUCAGCCACAUCAAGAGACUUCAUAAGAAACAGCCCUGUAACUCAUUUGUUGCUUUCCUGUAAGAAUGUUGUCAAGGACAUUAUUUACUUCAUUACAAAGGGUCUUCUUUGUGCUGGAGAAACUUCUCUCAGAUCUCUGUGCCAGGAAGAAUGGUGUUUCUCUCAAACACUGGGUUUGAUAUUACAGAUAGUAUAAACUAUAUAUCCAGGCACAUCCUCCUUUAGUGAGUAUAUACAAACUGGCUUCACUUCAUUUUUUUCAUCUUCCAACUUCUCCAUAAUAAUAUUUACUUUUAAAAAUGUUCUUAACAAUGAAUAUGACCAAGACAAUUUGAGGAAACCAAUCAUAAACUUUGUGUCAAUAUAGUAAGCAUGUUUCCUGCAGGGAGAUACCACUGUUCCCACUAAAAUAGAACACAACAAAAGGAGGCAGGAGAGAAAUGAAUGACUUAGGACCUGUCUAGGUUGAAAAGGCAAACUAGAAGUGGGGCACACCUAACUUGUUUAAAAAGACUUUGUCAACUAUUAUUUGUGUACUCUUGGCAUUUCUGUGUUCUCCUCAUUCCUAUUUCAUUCCUAUUCCCCUUUAAUAUUUCCUUUACAUACCUGAUACCUUCCCUCCCAAAAAUGGUGUGUGUCUAUGUAGUUCCUUGAUGAUUUUGUCAACGAAUAAUAAACCCUGGGUUUUGGAUAAGGAGGUGAAAAGAAAGGGCUCUGCUUGAUUCUGCACAGGGCUAUACACCACAGGGCGAGGAAAAAAGGAAAAUCCAAAUAUGUUUAGUCAGGAUGUUUUCCUAAACUAUUGAAGAAAUCUUAUCUGGCCUCCUCUUAAAAUAUGUAAGAACUGUUUCCAGCUGCUUGUUAUUUGGCUGUGCUUAUUUUAGACCAAAGCCAAUAAAAAAAAUGAGACUCUUCCCACAGUUUACUUAUUAAUUAUACAGGAGAAAAUAGUAGCUUAACAGGAGAACUCUGGUGGACACCCUUUUACCCAACUUAGCAAUACUACCAGUGGGAUGAACAGGCACCAUGUGUCUGCUUGUGUGACAGUGUGACAAAACACAAUACCACUUACCUUUCAUUCCUGAGGGGAGAGAAAAGUGCAUCCUGAAUCUAAUUAUAGGGAAACAUGGGAUAAACCCAAACUGAGGGACAUUCUACAAAAUAAAUGGCCUGUAUUCUUCAAAACAAUAUCAUGAAAGACAAAAAAAGGUAAGAAAACAUUCCAGAUUAAAGGAGAUUAAAGAGUCAUAAAAACUAAACCUAACACAAGAUCCCAGAUUGGGCUCUGAACCAGGGAGAAAAAUGCUAUAAAGAAUAUUAUUGGAGUAGUAGCUCGUGCCUGUAGUCCCAGAUACUCAUGGGGGAGGCUAAGGAGGGAGGAUAGCUUGAUCCCAGGAGUUCAAGGCUGCAAUGAGCUAUGAGUAGAACACUGCACUCCAGCCUAGGCAUCACAGCUAAACCCUGCCACAUAUCCCCCAACCAAGGAAAAGAUAUUUUUGAAGCCUCUGGCAAAAUUAGAAUAAAGAUCUGUAGAUUUGAUAAGGGAUUGUAUUAAUAUUUCACAUUUUGAUAAUUAUAACAUUGUUAUGUGAGCAAAUAUUCAUGUUUUUAGGAAAUACACACUGAACUAUUUAGGGGUAAAGAAGAACUGUGCCUACAGCUUACCCUCAAAUGAUUCAGAAAAAUAGAAUCACAUAAUCAUUUUAUGUAGAUGGUAGAGAUAAAUAUAGACAUAGGUGCAUUUACCCCAUGUUCACGAUGCAGCACGUUCAUCACACAGCACGAUGGGAUAGAUGGAUGGAUUCACAGAUGGAUGGAUAGUUAAAGAGAUGAAAGUAAAUGAGGCAAAAGGUUAAAAACUGCGAAUCCAGGUGAAGAGUAUACAGUAGUUCUUUGUACUAUUAUUGCAAUUUUCUCUGUUUGAAAUUAUCACAAAAUGUUUGAGGUUUGUUUUGGAAAAAAUAAUAGCCACAGAGUAUUUUUUUUCCCUAAGUAAUAGUGCAUGAAGUGUU
RNAcentral lists this long non-coding RNA (2663 nucleotides) under Homo sapiens (human). RNAcentral describes it as "HSALNT0329255". The record is from RNAcentral. Lineage: Eukaryota; Metazoa; Chordata; Mammalia; Primates; Hominidae.